AAUAAGAAUACAAAAAUUGUAAUUUAAUUUCGACUUAAAUUUUGAAUAUAAUAAUUAUUCCUUAUUU
RNAcentral lists this transfer RNA (67 nucleotides) under Psychomyia pusilla. Its description in RNAcentral is "tRNA-Arg". The record is from RNAcentral. Lineage: Eukaryota; Metazoa; Arthropoda; Insecta; Trichoptera; Psychomyiidae.